UACGUAGGGUGUAAGCGUUAAUCGGAAUUACUGGGCGUAAAGCGUGCGCAGGCGGUGAUGUAAGGCAGGUGUGAAAUCCCCGGGCUUAACCUGGGAACUGCAUUUGUGACUGCAUCGCUGGAGUGCGGCAGAGGGGGAUGGAAUUCCGCGUGUAGCAGUGAAAUGCGUAGAUAUGCGGAGGAACACCGAUGGCGAAGGCAAUCCCCUGGGCCUGCACUGACGCUCAUGCACGAAAGCGUGGGGAGCAAACAGG
This 253-nucleotide ribosomal RNA is filed under the name uncultured bacterium. RNAcentral's name for it is "partial 16S ribosomal RNA". It matches the Rfam family "Bacterial small subunit ribosomal RNA", at positions 524 to 776 of the family's 1533-position model. The record is from RNAcentral.